UCCUAAUAAGGCAGGGCCAUCUGUGUAGGU
This 30-nucleotide non-coding RNA is filed under the name Homo sapiens (human). The record is from RNAcentral. Lineage: Eukaryota; Metazoa; Chordata; Mammalia; Primates; Hominidae.